GACGAACGCUGGCGGCGUGCCUAACACAUGCAAGUUGAGCGACGAACCAGGGCUUGCCCUGGGGCAAAGCAGCGAACGGGUGAGUAACACGUGGGUAACCUACCCCGAUAACCGGGACAACCCGAGGAAACUCGGGCUAAUACCGGAUGUGCUCACUGGACUUCGGUUCAGUGCGUAAAGGAAGCUUCGGCCUCCGUAUCGGGAGGGGCCCGCGGCCCAUUAGUUUGUUGGUGAGGUAACGGCUCACCAAGACCGCGAUGGGUAGCUGGUCUGAGAGGACGAUCAGCCACACUGGGACUGAGACACGGCCCAGACUCCUACGGGAGGCAGCAGUGGGGAAUCUUGCGCAAUGCGCGAAAGCGUGACGCAGCAACGCCGCGUGGGGGAAGAAGGCCUUCGGGUUGUAAACCCCUUUCAGGAGGGACGAAGGUUCGGCGGUGAAUAGCCGUCCGGACUGACGGUACCUCCACAAAAAGCCCCGGCUAACUACGUG
This 493-nucleotide ribosomal RNA is filed under the name uncultured bacterium. Its description in RNAcentral is "partial 16S ribosomal RNA". It matches the Rfam family "Bacterial small subunit ribosomal RNA", at positions 28 to 507 of the family's 1533-position model. The record is from RNAcentral.